AUGAGCCUAGGUCGGAUUAGCUAGUUGGUGAGGUAAUGGCUCACCAAGGCGACGAUCCGUAACUGGUCUGAGAGGAUGAUCAGUCACACUGGAACUGAGACACGGUCCAGACUCCUACGGGAGGCAGCAGUGGGGAAUAUUGGACAAUGGGCGAAAGCCUGAUCCAGCCAUGCCGCGUGUGUGAAGAAGGUCUUCGGAUUGUAAAGCACUUUAAGUUGGGAGGAAGGGCAGUUACCUAAUACGUAAUUGUUUUGACGUUACCGACAGAAUAAGCACCGGCUAACUCUGUGCCAGCAGCCGCGGUAAUACAGAGGGUGCAAGCGUUAAUCGGAAUUACUGGGCGUAAAGCGCGCGUAGGUGGUUCGUUAAGUUGGAUGUGAAAGCCCCGGGCUCAACCUGGGAACUGCAUUCAAAACUGUCGAGCUAGAGUAUGGUAGAGGGUGGUGGAAUUUCCUGUGUAUCGGUGAAAUGCGUAUAUAUAGGAAGGAACACCAGUGGCGAAGGCGACCACCUGGACUGAUACUGACACUGAGGUGCAAAGCGUGGGGAGCACACAGGAUUAGAUACCCUGGUAGUCCACGCCUUAACGAUGUCUACUAGCCUUUGGGA
Molecule: ribosomal RNA, 609 nt
Filed under: Pseudomonas sp. RP10(2014)
Lineage: Bacteria; Pseudomonadati; Pseudomonadota; Gammaproteobacteria; Pseudomonadales; Pseudomonadaceae
Description: bacterial SSU rRNA
Rfam family: Bacterial small subunit ribosomal RNA
Source: RNAcentral